AACAUUUAAUCAGGUCCUUUCAACUUCUGCUGCUCUGCACACUAACUCCUUCACCAGGAACAUUUAAUCAGGUCCUUUCAACUUCUGCUGCUCUGCACACAGACUCCUUCACCAGUAACAUUUAAUCAAAUUUUCUCAAUUCAACUAUCACUGCCCUGAUACUCAAAACAUCAUGAGUUUAAAAUACUCAUUCAUGUAAAUGAUUCACAAGUGGUUUUUUGUAAUGACUGCCUAUAAUUAUGCAUGAUUAACUUAAAUCUUAUUAACUCACUAACACGACUAACCUCACUAACUUAAUCAGUUAUUAUAAAAACCACUUGCUGAGUUUUACUAUGAAGGUCUUACUGAUGUUGCUUGAAAGACAGCGCUGACUAAUUUAUCAGGUUGAACAACUUCGAGCUAAGUAGUCUUCAACUCUGGAAUUACUCAAGACUUUUUCUCCAG
Long non-coding RNA from Ctenocephalides felis (cat flea), 444 nucleotides. RefSeq lists it as uncharacterized. The transcript has 5 exons. Lineage: Eukaryota; Metazoa; Arthropoda; Insecta; Siphonaptera; Pulicidae. The record is from RefSeq and is a predicted model, not a curated record.